GACGAACGCUGGCGGCGUGCUUAACACAUGCAAGUCGAACGGAAAGGCCCUGCUUUUGUGGGGUGCUCGAGUGGCGAACGGGUGAGUAACACGUGAGUAACCUGCCCUUGACUUUGGGAUAACUUCAGGAAACUGGGGCUAAUACCGGAUAGGAGCUCCUGCUGCAUGGUGGGGGUUGGAAAGUUUCGGCGGUUGGGGAUGGACUCGCGGCUUAUCAGCUUGUUGGUGGGGUAGUGGCUUACCAAGGCUUUGACGGGUAGCCGGCCUGAGAGGGUGACCGGCCACAUUGGGACUGAGAUACGGCCCAGACUCCUACGGGGGGCAGCAGUGGGGAAUAUGGCACAAUGGGCGGAAGCCUGAUGCAGCAACGCCGCGUGCGGGAUGACGGCCUUCGGGUUGUAAACCGCUUUCGCCUGUGACGAAGCGUGAGUGACGGUAAUGGGUAAAGAAGCACCGGCUAACUACGUG
RNAcentral lists this ribosomal RNA (468 nucleotides) under uncultured bacterium. Its description in RNAcentral is "partial 16S ribosomal RNA". It matches the Rfam family "Bacterial small subunit ribosomal RNA", at positions 28 to 507 of the family's 1533-position model. The record is from RNAcentral.